UAUGGCCAUAUCACGUUGAAACAACGGUUCUCGUACGAACAUCGAAGUUAAGCAACGUCGAGUGUGGUCAGUACUUAGGUGAGUGAUCGCUAGAAAUUGUCAGGUGCUGUAA
Non-coding RNA from Acanthosepion pharaonis, 112 nucleotides. Lineage: Eukaryota; Metazoa; Mollusca; Cephalopoda; Sepiida; Sepiidae. The record is from the annotation of a GenBank genome assembly.